Molecule: ribosomal RNA, 253 nt
Filed under: uncultured bacterium
Lineage: Bacteria
Description: partial 16S ribosomal RNA
Rfam family: Bacterial small subunit ribosomal RNA
Source: RNAcentral
UACGGAGGGUGCAAACGUUGAUCGGAAUCAUUGGGCGUAAAGCGCACGUAGGCGGUUCGUUAAGUCGGAUGUGAAAGCCUCGGGCUUAACCCGGGAAGUGCAUCCGAAACUGGCGGGCUUGAGUACGGAAGAGGGUCGUGGAAUUCCCGGUGUAGAGGUGAAAUUCGUAGAUAUCGGGAGGAACACCAGUGGCGAAGGCGGAGACCUGGGCCGAUACUGACGCUGAGGUGCGAAAGCGUGGGGAGCAAACAGG